GUGCCAGCAGCCGCGGUAAUACGUAGGGUGCAAGCGUUAUCCGGAAUUAUUGGGCGUAAAGAGCUCGUAGGCGGUUUGUCGCGUCUGCUGUGAAAACCCGAGGCUCAACCUCGGGCCUGCAGUGGGUACGGGCAGACUAGAGUGCGGUAGGGGAGAUUGGAAUUCCUGGUGUAGCGGUGGAAUGCGCAGAUAUCAGGAGGAACACCGAUGGCGAAGGCAGAUCUCUGGGCCGUAACUGACGCUGAGGAGCGAAAGCAUGGGGAGCGAACAGGAUUAGAUACCCUGGUAGUCC
This 292-nucleotide ribosomal RNA is filed under the name uncultured microorganism. Its description in RNAcentral is "partial 16S ribosomal RNA". It matches the Rfam family "Bacterial small subunit ribosomal RNA", at positions 505 to 796 of the family's 1533-position model. The record is from RNAcentral.